CUUAGAGUGAAUCCAUGACUGUUUGAAGGGGUAUCAUAGUCUGUUAAAUGUGUGGCAUGGAUGUGGCCUCUGAUCUGAAAAGCAGAAAGCAGACAAGUUCAGAUUUAUUUAUUAUUAAACAACUAACUGUAAUGAUAACAGCCUGCUUUCCUUAUGCACUGGUGCUGAAAAGGGCAAGGAAAGCUGUCUUGUUGUUGUUGUUUUGGAUAUAGGUAGGUAGCCAUGUUGGUCUGCCGUAGUCGAGACAAAAUAAAAAAAAAAUCAUUCUAAUAGCACCUUAGAGACCAACUAAGUUUGUUAUUGGUAUGAGCUUUCGUGUGCAUGCACACUUCUUCAGAUACUAUUUUUUUAAAUGUUGUUUUUAUUUUGUUUUGUUUUUGUUUUUUGUUUAGGUAACAGACAGGCCCCUUCCUCCAUCCUCCCCAUGGCUACAGACCUUUGUUCUACCAAAUUGUUUGUCCUUGAUAAUGUUGCUUAUCCAGAGAUAGCCCAAUUAUAGCGGUUAGCCCAGUUAUAUAGCCCAGUUAUAGCGGUUAGAUGUGAUUCAUUCCUUAUUAAUAAAUCUAGCAAAAAGACAAAGCUAUGGCGCAAAUGUGGAUUGUAAAAUACACUUAUUUCCCAGUAUGGGGUCAAGUCCACUAUGAUGUGCCUGGCAACUUAUCUAUUUCUAAUACAAACAGAGUAAAAUCCUUUGAGCGGAGGUAAUAGCUCUGUAAUGUUACAAACCUGGAUCAGAUCAAGGGUCUUAAAUUGGGAUCAGGUACUGUUGAAGCAAAGAGUCAGAUAAUGCAAUAUAAACAUUAGUCUAUGCUAGCAUGUCUCCAGCGAUUUCCUAUCCCCCAUUUGGUAUUUUGUCUGAGCUUUAAAUAAAAAGAAAUAGAUUCUAACAGAAUGGAUGGGGCUUCUGAUCAUCUGGUAGGGAAAGGGAACUACUCACACAUUUGUAAAAGGUGAUUCCUACCCCAUUGUAUUUACCCAAAUAGGUAAUUUAUCAGAUUUUAUCCAAAUAGAUAAUUUGCCCACUUUAUCCAAUUCUAUGUGUUAUUCCUACCAAUUUGAGAUUCAGAAAUGAAAAAAACAAACAAAAACUUUUCAUGUGAUAUAUCAAAGAAUUGUAGAAUCGGAAAAUUGUAGAGUUGGAAGGGACACCAAGGCUCAUUUUGCCCAUCCCCCUGCAAUGCAGGAAUCUCGGCUAAAUCAGCCAUGACAGAUGACAGAUAUGACUGGUGGCAAAUAGCUGUUUGUCUCAGAAUCAGGUUCUCUGGCUAAGGGUCCCUGAGGUCACUUGACAAAAUUAGGAGCUAGAGAAACAGUCUGAGGGAAAGCCAUGCUCUAAGUUUUUGUUUUUAAUUUGGUCAACCCAGAUACUUUAUUUAUUCACAGGCCACUCUUAACUGGAAGGCCCCAAGGUGGAAAUGUGUAAAAUGAAAGCAAAAAUUGAGCAAUAGAGUGGUACCUCAGGUUAAGAACGUAAUUCAUUCUGGAGUUCUUAACCUGAAACUGUUCUUAACCUGAGGUACCACUUUAGCUAUUGGGGCCUCCCGCUGCUGCCGUGCCACAGGACCACGAUUUCUGUUCUCAUCCUGAAGCAAAGUUCUUAAGCCGAGGUACUAUUUCUGGGUUAGCGGAGUUUGUAACCUAAACCUAAAACUAGCCAACAUAAAUGCCACACAAAUAAUACAGGUACAGUAAUAAAGGGCAUUGUGAUGUCUGCCUGUUAUAGGGGCCAUUGCUGAAAAGCUCUGUUCCCUUUUGUGACAGAGGCAGUGUGGUGCAUUUGUUAGAACUGGGGUUGGGUAUCUCAGGCCCAGGAACCAAAUGUGGCUCUUGGGACUCUCCCCAAGCCAUACGCCCUUCCCAGAUCAGAGACCUUUUCCCCACAAGGAUGGAGGAGAACCAUGUACACCACCUUGAGAGCUUCAGAGGAUCUAAGAGUUAUAAUAAAUGAACAAAUAAAAUAAAAGGGCCAGUGGACUAACCAUAUACAAUGAAUGACAACUUAAGGUUCUGAGUUUUGGAUCUAGCCAUUAAAGUCUUAAGUUGCUUGAGUUCCAGAGUACCAGACAAUGUGGACAAUAUUCAAAAUAGGUAUAUAAGGGCAGGUCAGAAUGGAAUGUGCUGUUAUGGGGGUGGGGUGUCACGUGAUCUUUUUUUAACCUAGUGACUCUGGUGGGAAAAGGAGUCAGUUUGCAUUUCCUAGUACCGAAAUGUGUAGAGAUCUUUCCUGUUCUGCUUUGUUCAAGAGGGUUCUAGAAGGUUUUAUCUCUGUGUGAAAGAAGGUUCUUGUUCGGGUUAUUCCUUCUGAGAAGCUGAGUACAGCUAGUUUGAACUGGUUCUAUUAUCUUUCUGUCAAGGUCACGCUGACUACAAUAGUCAGGGUAGAAGGAGACUGGAUUUCACUUACUUUCUCUUUCUAUCUCUUUGUUCUGGUGUGGUGUUCUGUUCAUAUAUAAUGUUUAGUCUUAUUUUAAGUUAUUGUUAAAUUUUAAGUUAAGUCUGCUGCAACUGGAUUUCUUCUGGAUUGUGCCAAUCCUGAAUGUAUUGGAUUUGUGACUGUUAUACUCAUUUGCCUUCAGUAGCAGUAAAGCUUUGCUGGACAAUUGCCUCUGGUCUAUUGUUUGGCAACUCUGCAACAUGUUUAAGUUUCCCCCCCACACGUGACAAAUGGUCCAGGAUUAGCAGGAGUAUAGGAACCUUGCCCAGAGAUGUUCCUCUUAUAAACUCAGGUGAUGCAUAAGCCAGAAAAGUUGGAAGAUGACACUCUCACUUGUGUUCUGCCUGGCCAGGAGAGGAGGGCAAGCUAAGCCUGAAGCUUUUGGUGGCAGGCUGAGAUUCACAGGAGACUGACUCCUGGGUGAGAACUGUACCCCUAAAGCUUUUCACUGCUCUGAACUGGGGUGCAUGUGUAUGUAUAACAAUAUUGUUCUGGAAGCAAGGGAGGACUUUGGUAAUAUCGCACCAGAGUAUGGCCAAAAUUUGGUGUCCCCAAAUGGAUCUUCUCACUUAUGGAACUUCUCAGUUUUGCACCCCCUUGGCUUCGUACCCUGUGUGUGGGAACCACCUCCACCGAAUUAAAUCCUGCACUGCUGGAAGAGAGCCACUGAUCAUUUUUAAUAGGAAAGAAUAAAGCUAGAUAGCCUUGGAUCUGGCACAGAAUACUGGGCUUAUUGAGUAUCAGGUUUCUAUUAAAUCACAUUCUCAUUCAAAAGGAUAGUUCAUAUUGUAAUUGAAGAUGUCACCCUUCACUCAUUUCAGAUAGAAUUACUUCAUUACUUAUUCUUUUGUACUUUGAGUCUAUUUAUCUCUACUGAAAAAGAUAAAUACAUGAUGAAAUAGGAACAUUGCAAAGAAUGAUCUUGUCAAAUCACUGCUAAAACAGAAAGAAUUCUGAUUCUUAGAAACAAUUGUGCUCUCUUAAGCAGCUACCCCCAUCAACAGCAAAAGGCUUUAUAGAUUUAUCUCUAACAGACUUUGAAAAUGAAACAUAAGAACCAGACAUUUCACAAGAAUUACUUGGCGCAAAAUGUCAGAUCUCCAAGAUAAUACGUUAAUUAGCUAGCAACUUUUCCAGUGCAGGAAAAUAAAAAAAAUAAUUGAAAAAAUGAAUUAUUAAAGUAUUCCAAAGAUGACUGAUGCUGAAUGCCAGCAUUCCUUAAAAUCAUAGUGUUAUUAUGCUAACAGUUACAGAAGCUAUUAGCAUUUUUUUUAAAAAAGAGAACUCACAAACAUGUAAAACAUCUCUUUAUUUGUUGUUAAAGCCCAAGCCUUUCCUGUAUGUUCUGGGUGGAUCAUUACAACUUUACCAAAAAUGGCAGAGCUAUCACUGUCACUGUAAAUGAAUCGGACAGACAAGUUUCUGGAAAAGAUAGGAAGAUAAAGCAAAAUAUAUAAAAUGUAGCCUUCAAAGAACACAGCAAUUACAUCCCUGGAACUAACCAAAAGCCAUCUAGUCCAGCAUUUGCUUUCCAAGAGUGACUCUCCAUAUAAUGUUAGAAAGCUCACAAAGAAGGCUAGGUGAUAGCCUUCCCCCAAUAUUUGUUGUUAAGUAUAAUUAUUUAAUUUCCUGAAAUUGGGAAUGCUUAAAUGCAUUACUGUGUGUUUAAUUCUGGAAUGUUUGAACAGUAACUCUUGUGUGAUUGGUUAACUCUGGGUCACAUGGGAGGUUAAAAGUUUUUUGUUUUUUUUAAAGAUAAAGGUCCCCUGGAUGGUUAAAUCCAGUCAAAGGCAACUAUGGGAUGUGGCGCUCAUCUCACUUUUCAGACUGAUACAUGGGAGGUAUCUUAUUACAGUCUCCAUUUUGUUUUGUGUGUGAGUGACUUGACUCACCGACACACAAAACAUGAACGCUGAAGAAAAGAAAGUGAUAGAGUACUCUUUCUCUCCCUGAACACAAUAGAGGGGUGGAGCGCUAUCGUUUCUGCGUGAAUGUAUGUAACUAAUAGAAGUACAGAAGUUGAUGUUCUUCCAAAAAAGCAGUAAGAAGAAGUCUGCCAGAAAGACAAAGAAGGAACCUCUUAGGAGGAACUAGCUGGGUCAUGUGCAGAAGGCUGAGAGCGAGUAUUGGAAACAGAGAAAGACACAGUUUGUUUGACUGUUUACGAAGGAAGCAGUAAUCUUCAACUAAGUGAAAAUUAAGC
Non-coding RNA from Podarcis lilfordi (Lilford's wall lizard), 4637 nucleotides. The record is from the annotation of a GenBank genome assembly. NCBI's taxonomy places the organism in Eukaryota, Metazoa, Chordata, Lepidosauria, Squamata, Lacertidae.